This 497-nucleotide ribosomal RNA is filed under the name uncultured bacterium. RNAcentral describes it as "partial 16S ribosomal RNA". It matches the Rfam family "Bacterial small subunit ribosomal RNA", at positions 28 to 507 of the family's 1533-position model. The record is from RNAcentral.
GACGAACGCUGGCGGCGUGCCUAAUACAUGCAAGUAGAACGCUGAAGCGAGGAGCUUGCUCUUCUUGGAUGAGUUGCGAACGGGUGAGUAACGCGUAGGUAACCUGCCUUGUAGCGGGGGAUAACUAUUGGAAACGAUAGCUAAUACCGCAUAACAAUAGGUGACACAUGUCAUUUAUUUGAAAGGGGCAAUUGCUCCACUACAAGAUGGACCUGCGUUGUAUUAGCUAGUAGGUGAGGUAACGGCUCACCUAGGCGACGAUACAUAGCCGACCUGAGAGGGUGAUCGGCCACACUGGGACUGAGACACGGCCCAGACUCCUACGGGAGGCAGCAGUAGGGAAUCUUCGGCCAUGGGGGCAACCCUGACCGAGCAACGCCGCGUGAGUGAAGAAGGUUUUCGGAUCGUAAAGCUCUGUUGUAAGUCAAGAACGAGUGUGAGAGUGGAAAGUUCACACUGUGACGGUAGCUUACCAGAAAGGGACGGCUAACUACGUG